GUGCUGAGGAAGUGUUUCAAGUGCUGCUGUCAGAAGGAAAGCAAAGAGCCAUCCAUUUGUUGCUCAAGAAAUGAGGACAAUGAAAUUCUGGCAUGGGAAGCUGUCAUGAAGGAGAAUUACCUUGUCAAAAUCAAUACCAAAGCAAACGAUUCAUCAGAAGAGAUGGUGCAUCGAUUUAGACAACUGGAUGCAAAGCUCUCUGAUUUGAAAGGCCUUCUGAAAGAGAUUUCUAGCAAAAUCAAAUGAACGCAGCUGAAAUCCAAG
This is a long non-coding RNA of Myiozetetes cayanensis, 264 nucleotides long. RefSeq lists it as uncharacterized. The transcript is spliced from 4 exons. Lineage: Eukaryota; Metazoa; Chordata; Aves; Passeriformes; Tyrannidae. The record is from RefSeq and is a predicted model, not a curated record.